Molecule: ribosomal RNA, 378 nt
Filed under: Triticum aestivum (bread wheat)
Lineage: Eukaryota; Viridiplantae; Streptophyta; Magnoliopsida; Poales; Poaceae
Description: partial small subunit ribosomal RNA
Source: RNAcentral
AUGGAGGGGCUGCCGAAAUCCACCUCGAGGCAGAGGGGUAGGCAGAAGGAUGGUGGGCGUUCCACUCGACGGCGAGCCAUGGGUGAUGGCGAUCUCAACGCAAAGUUUUCCGAUCUGCCCGUCUUCAAGGGCGUGGAGCGACGGAGGUUGUCUCCCUCCUUCCACACGGUCGCAGCAUCGGGAGAGGAUUCAGCCCCCGUGUGGUUCUGCACCAAGCUGGAAGCAUUUGGUGGCAUGUUACUGAAAAAUGUGCCUGAAAGAUUUGAUCGGUCUACUAAGUUGGUAAACGCUCUGAACAUCCAAGUGUUGGUGGAGACCGUUUGCGUGUUACUGCUCCAAUUUUCUCAGCAGAUGCUUCCUGGGCUACUUACCUCUUGA